RNAcentral lists this ribosomal RNA (492 nucleotides) under uncultured bacterium. RNAcentral's name for it is "partial 16S ribosomal RNA". It matches the Rfam family "Bacterial small subunit ribosomal RNA", at positions 29 to 507 of the family's 1533-position model. The record is from RNAcentral.
AGUGAACGCUGGCGGUAGGCCUAACACAUGCAAGUCGAACGGCAGCACAGUAAGAGCUUGCUCUUACGGGUGGCGAGUGGCGGGCGGGUGAGGAAUACAUCGGAAUCUACUUUUUCGUGGAGGAUAACGUAGGGAAACUUACGCUAAUACCGCAUACGACCUACGGGUGAGAGCAGGGGAUCUUCGCACCUUGCGCGAUUGAAUGAGCCGAUGUCGGAUUAGCUAGUUGGCGGGGUAAAGGCCCACCAAGGCGACGAUCCGUAGCUGGUCUGAGAGGAUGAUCAGCCACACUGGAACUGAGACACGGUCCAGACUCCUACGGGAGGCAGCAGUGGGGAAUAUUGGACAAUGGGCGCAAGCCUGAUCCAGCCAUACCGCGUGGGUGAAGAAGGCCUUCGGGUUGUAAAGCCCUUUUGUUGGGAAAGAAAAGCAGCAGGUUAAUACGCCGCUGUUCUGACGGUACCCAAAGAAUAAGCACCGGCUAACUUCGUG